This 1548-nucleotide ribosomal RNA is filed under the name Arthrobacter sp. 31Cvi3.1E. RNAcentral's name for it is "bacterial LSU rRNA". It matches the Rfam family "Bacterial large subunit ribosomal RNA", at positions 4 to 1471 of the family's 2925-position model. The record is from RNAcentral. Lineage: Bacteria; Bacillati; Actinomycetota; Actinomycetes; Micrococcales; Micrococcaceae.
CAAGUUUUUAAGGGCACACGGUGGAUGCCUUGGCAUUAGGAGCCGAAGAAGGACGUAGGAAUCUGCGAUAAGCCUGGGGGAGUUGAUAACCGAGCGUUGAUCCCAGGAUGUCCGAAUGGGGAAACCCCGCACAACGCUGUCAUGGUGAUUGUGUGACCCGCAUCUGAACACAUAGGGUGCGUGGGGGGAACGCGGGGAAGUGAAACAUCUCAGUACCCGCAGGAAGAGAAAACAAGAGUGAUUCCGUUAGUAGUGGCGAGCGAACGCGGAUCAGGCUAAACCGUUUCCAUGUGUGAUAGCCGGCGGGCGUUGCAUGGGCGGGGUUGUGGGACUUUCCGUUCUGGUUCUGCCGGGCCAGUGAGGUGAGAGUGCGUGCAUAGGUGAACGGUCUUGAAAGGCCGGCCAGAGAGGGUGUGAGCCCCGUAACCGUAAUGUUGUGUGCCGCCUGGAGAGUAUCCCAAGUAGCACGGGGCCCGAGAAAUCCCGUGCGAAUCUGUCAGGACCACCUGAUAAGCCUAAAUACUUCCUAAUGACCGAUAGCGGACCAGUACCGUGAGGGAAAGGUGAAAAGUACCCCGGGAGGGGAGUGAAACAGUACCUGAAACCGUGUGCUUACAAUCCGUCGGAGCAGUCUUGUUACUGUGACGGCGUGCCUUUUGAAGAAUGAGCCUGCGAGUUAGUGUUACGUCGCGAGGUUAACCCGUGUGGGGUAGCCGUAGCGAAAGCGAGUCUGAAUAGGGCGAGUGUAGUGGCGUGAUCUAGACCCGAAGCGGAGUGAUCUACCCAUGGCCAGGUUGAAGCGACGGUAAGACGUCGUGGAGGACCGAACCCACUUCAGUUGAAAAUGGAGGGGAUGAGCUGUGGGUAGGGGUGAAAGGCCAAUCAAACUCCGUGAUAGCUGGUUCUCCCCGAAAUGCAUUUAGGUGCAGCGUUGCGUGUUUCUUGCCGGAGGUAGAGCUACUGGAUGGCCGAUGGGCCCUACAAGGUUACUGACGUCAGCCAAACUCCGAAUGCCGGUAAGUCAGAGCGCAGCAGUGAGACUGUGGGGGAUAAGCUUCAUAGUCGAGAGGGAAACAGCCCAGACCACCAACUAAGGCCCCUAAGCGUGUGCUAAGUGGGAAAGGAUGUGGAGUUGCGAAGACAACCAGGAGGUUGGCUUAGAAGCAGCCAUCCUUGAAAGAGUGCGUAAUAGCUCACUGGUCAAGUGAUUCCGCGCCGACAAUGUAGCGGGGCUCAAGUACACCGCCGAAGUUGUGGAUUUCACACAGUACCCUAGCCUUCGUGGUUCAGGGGUGUGGAGUGGUAGGGGAGCGUCGUGUGGGCAGUGAAGUCGCGGUGGAAACCAGCGGUGGAGCCUACACGAGUGAGAAUGCAGGCAUGAGUAGCGAAAGACGGGUGAGAAACCCGUCCGCCGAAUGAUCAAGGGUUCCAGGGUCAAGCUAAUCUGCCCUGGGUAAGUCGGGACCUAAGGCGAGGCCGACAGGCGUAGUCGAUGGACAACGGGUUGAUAUUCCCGUACCGGCGAAAAACCGCCCAUGCCAAGCGGGG